RNAcentral lists this ribosomal RNA (642 nucleotides) under uncultured Actinomycetes bacterium. RNAcentral describes it as "bacterial SSU rRNA". It matches the Rfam family "Bacterial small subunit ribosomal RNA", at positions 232 to 885 of the family's 1533-position model. Lineage: Bacteria; Bacillati; Actinomycetota; Actinomycetes. The record is from RNAcentral.
CGCGGCCUAUCAGCUUGUUGGUGGGGUAAUGGCCUACCGAGGCGACGACGGGUAGCCGGCCUGAGAGGGCGACCGGCCACACUGGGGCUGAGACACGGCCCAGACUCCUACGGGAGGCAGCAGUGGGGAAUAUUGCACAAUGGGCGAAAGCCUGAUGCAGCGACGCCGCGUGAGGGAUGACGGCCUUCGGGUUGUAAACCUCUUUCAGCAGGGAAGAAGCGAAAGUGACGGUACCUGCAGAAGAAGCGCCGGCUAACUACGUGCCAGCAGCCGCGGUAAUACGUAGGGCGCGAGCGUUGUCCGGAAUUAUUGGGCGUAAAGAGCUCGUAGGCGGCUUGUCACGUCGGAUGUGAAAGCCCGAGGCUUAACCUCGGGUCUGCAUUCGAUACGGGCUAGCUAGAGUGUGGUAGGGGAGAUCGGAAUUCCUGUGUAGCGGUGAAAUGCGCAGAUAUCGGGAGGAACACCGGUGGCGAAGGCGGAUCUCUGGGCCAUUACUGACGAUGAGGAGCGAGAGCGUGGGGAGCGAACAGGAUUAGAUACCCUGGUAGUCCACGCCGUAAACGCUGGGAACUAGGUGUUGGCGACAUUCCACGCCGUCGGUGCCGCAGCUAACGCAUUAAGUUCCCCGCCUGGGGAGUACGG